GCUUCCUCUGAAGUUUUUGAUUUCUUGAUUUGCAAUUAAUUUUGAUUUAUUCUACAAUUUAUGGCAAUCAUUUAUCAAUUACCCAUUUUUCUUGCAAUUAAUUACAAUAUUUAAAUUUUGAUUUUGACUUACCCCUUACACGACCAACAAUGAAGCCAAUUCCAUGACCCUCAGAUACUACAAGUUCUUCAUCUUCUCCUUUGAAUAUAGAGCAUCUAAACUUCUUCGAUAGUGAGAUUAUCAUGACCAUGAAAAAUCGUGUCUCUAAAAGAC
Molecule: long non-coding RNA, 273 nt
Filed under: Olea europaea (common olive)
Lineage: Eukaryota; Viridiplantae; Streptophyta; Magnoliopsida; Lamiales; Oleaceae
Description: long non-coding RNA (OEUR_LNC001639)
Source: RNAcentral